AUUUUACAGUUUACACAAAAUGAUCUCUGGUAAUUAUACAGCAGAGGGGAUAUAUAACUAGAUGUACUUUCACAUUGCAAAAUGGAUUUCCAGAGCCCUGGGUGAGAAAAACGUGUGUCCCUCCGCCCCCUUGGGUUCCUUCCUUUUUAUAAGCAUUAAAGUCAGUUCUUAGCAUGCCCUAUAGACUAAUCUGGUCUUCAUUCUCAGUGUCAAUAGGCCUCCUUAGACAAC
Non-coding RNA from Pelobates cultripes (western spadefoot toad), 231 nucleotides. Lineage: Eukaryota; Metazoa; Chordata; Amphibia; Anura; Pelobatidae. The record is from the annotation of a GenBank genome assembly.